AUACAUCCCACCCAGAGAAACGAUCUCGCCUCAGAUGAUACUUGUCAUCUGUGAGACCACCCCUUUAGCUAGAGUUAACCACUUGAGCAGGUUUCAAUUUUGUCUCUGAAAGUAGGAAGCUAUCAGUCUCCCUACAUGACUCGUUCCACCCUUUGUGGAUACUUCUACCUGUAGAAAAAAAGGUUGGCAAACUUGGUGGCAUGGUGAGGACAAAGGGCAUUUUGAAAGAACCAGUGACUGAGGUCAGAGUGGGGAGCUGGUGUUAGCUGUGGGAUUCACUGCAGCGUCCUACCACAAAGGCAAAGAAGAUGAAAAUGCAGCGUGCAGUGCUGGGCUUGAUUCCCAAGUCGCAGUCGGGCUCCCGCUAUGGUAGGAGGCUUUACACUCAGCCUGGGUCAGCACCGGAGCAUCCAGGCACUUCAGCUCGUCUGGGUAGUCAGCUGUGAGGAUCAGGAAGAGAUCAAAGAAAGUAGAAAUGUGGGUGAGGCCAGAGAAGGAGACAAUAAUCUGGGAUGGAACAUUGAAGAGGAACACUGCCUCUGGAGAGGACUCCAAAACAUGCAAGACAUUGUGAUUUUGACCUUGUUGGAUGCUGCACCUAAAGGUGGAUGGAAGAGGAAGAGUCUUGGGGGCUACCAUCCUGGCUGGAGAAGCUGGCACGAGGCUCCCUCUUGUGGAUGCAGCAAGGACUGUUAAAAAUCUCCCAAGGCAGAGACUUUUAGGCCUACAUGUACUUAGCCUCCUCUUCCCACCUCCUGUUCAUCUCUGUUUCCAAUGUUCCACUGCCAUCACUGCCAGGAAGUUCUGCAGAGAAGAAUGAAGAAGAACCGUAUGAUCCUAAACAUGUUCUUUGAAGAUAUUAUCAACCCACCAUUGGCCUUAUUUACUGGAAUGUUUUUAUAACCUUUAUUUGACACCUCUUCCCAUCAUUUAAAAUAAAUCUGGUGCUUCCCUGAAUAA
RNAcentral lists this long non-coding RNA (960 nucleotides) under Homo sapiens (human). Its description in RNAcentral is "UBE2R2 antisense RNA 1, transcript variant 2 (UBE2R2-AS1)". The record is from RNAcentral. Lineage: Eukaryota; Metazoa; Chordata; Mammalia; Primates; Hominidae.